GGCUCUUCCGCUCCGUGUCUUAAUGAAUAAAUCGGGCGGCGCUCUUGAAUCGGGCACGGGCGAGAGACGGGCGCAUGCGUGGCCUUGCCUUCUUCUUCUCCAUAGGUCCCAUAGCUUGUCCUGCUGGCAUUGUCCCUGAGCUCUUCCCGCCUUUUUUGAGAGAGUGAGAGCGCGUGCGUGCGGGGCCACGCCCAUAACCGCUCUUUUCCCUCAGCAAGCGCGGCCUCCAGUUUCUCUUGAGGGGAAGACUUGGCUAUGGAUAAACGGAUGAAUACUGGCUGUUCUCAGAAUCACUUCCACUCCUCUGCUUAAAAACAAAUCCGGACUAUUUUCAAUGGCUUAAACAGCUGGCACUUUCAGACCUCUGCUUUUAACUUUUUGGAUCCUGUUCUCUUCUUUUGGACACUGCUCUCUGUAUAAAUGCUGAUGGAGUCACUGGCCACAAAAACAUUGUUGUUUAAGGACUUCAGCCCUGAAGAGGCAGAGACAUACUGGCUCCAGGCUGAGGGACAGAGAUCUGACAGAGAGGUGCAUAGUUAGCAUUUAAUAUAUGUAAGACAUUAACAUGCUCAAUUUGCUUAACAACAGAGCUGGCACAGGAACAUUUUGCAUAUAAGGUAAGAACUCCCAUGGACAUGGAAUAGGAGAACUGAUAAACUUUCAGAUAAGUCAUUCUGAUUUUUCAAACCGUAAAUACCCCCCUCCAGUUUCCUUUCUAUUACUUUGUUUAAAAGCAAUUGGAGGGAGAGGGAAAGGAAUUGGUUUAUCAUGUCAUUUUAUGGCCUAACAUUAGGGUUAUGCUGCCCCAACCAAAUUUUGGUUGAUUAGAGUGCUGAUUAAAAGUCCAGAAUUAUUGGUUAAUUCUUUCUUAGUGGAAGCUAAGGAUAGUAAGAAAUCUUAUGUUUCCAAAUAAGAG
Molecule: non-coding RNA, 916 nt
Organism: Podarcis muralis (Common wall lizard)
Lineage: Eukaryota; Metazoa; Chordata; Lepidosauria; Squamata; Lacertidae
Source: RefSeq, a predicted model, not a curated record